Molecule: long non-coding RNA, 6761 nt
Organism: Ooceraea biroi (clonal raider ant)
Lineage: Eukaryota; Metazoa; Arthropoda; Insecta; Hymenoptera; Formicidae
Source: RefSeq, a predicted model, not a curated record
GACAUCGCAUCAAUACUCCUUGGAUCCAUCCGAAUUUCACUCCGGGAGUCGUAGAUUUCAAUUGCGGGACGGUUAACGUGUGCGAACCUGGGCCCUAGAGGCAUAUCGCAUAGUAAAUCGAGUGAUUUAAGAAAUUUGUUGCAAAAUCUGGCACAUCUUUAAAACAUUAUGGUAAGUUGAUAUGGAAUUAAUGCUUACACUUAUAAAUUAAAAUGAAAAAUAAUGUUCACACAAAAUUAUGCUAAAUAUGCAUCACAAUACGCAACAAGUUAUCUUGGCAAGUAGUAUCUAUCCGAAAUAUCCUAUUUCAAAAUAGAAACAUUAUGCAAAUAAUUUCAUAAAUGUGGUAUCUGCAGAAUCUUGUAGCGAUUCUGCCCCGAGAUACAUCCAUCCCUCUCCGUUCAGUUUUAAUUGAAUUCUUCUUUAGUUCGGAUUCAAGAGUCCCACCUAUUGUUCAUUUAAUUUCAAGAAUACAGCAUUUACUGCAUUAUUUACUGCGUCGUGUCUAUAAUUAGUCGCGUUCGUCUGCAUUCCGCUGCACCGUCAGCAGCUCCGCGAAUCGUCACACGUGCGCAUCGCAUAGAACGUGUAGCUAUGCGAGAUUGAGGUAACUCAGGAGGAUAGCUGAAAACUGAGAGAAAAGGAAAGAGAAAGAGAGAGGAAUCAACGGAGCCUGAGUUGUUUUCAGGAAGUCUCUCGAGUCGACACUUUCCCGGAGUGCCGCAACCCGUGUGCCGUCUUGAGAGCCGACUGUUCUUCCACGCACAUCGCGUAUCACGUAAUUGUGCCCAUGAUGAAUCCGGACGCGGCAUGCUCAUAAUUAUGCAAGAAAUUAUGCGCUGUCGCACUGGUCGGGAUGAUGAAGAAAAUGAUGAUGAUGAUGAUGAUGUCUUGAUCAAUUCGAUGUCUAACUGACAUACCGAGAAUGUCUCAAGGUUGAUGUUCGAAGCGGAUCCGAACGAUUUCUUGUGAAUGACGGCGGCCGGGAUGAUCCGCGCGCGGUCAGAUAGAUUUACGCGCGUAAGUCGAGAUUCACAGAGACGAUUAUCGAAGGUACUGAAGGUGAUUCUGGCCUGGAGGAACGGUCGACCGGUCGGUCAAUGAAGUUUAAUGAUUUACGUAACGUCGGAGCCCACGUCGCUGGCCUCACAUCCGCAACGACCGAUGUCGAGGAACUCUUCGCGAAUCGCGCACGCGAGCGACGAUCGCGAGAUGCACGCGAGGCCGCUGGAUUAAAAAAAGAUCAUGCAUGUGGCAUCAUGCGUGUGCGUUUGAAGAUGCUUGGAUUUUCGAGUUUUUUGUAUAUUCGAAGCACCGUUUCAUUUGCGUUGUUGAAAGCACACCGUUGCAUGAAUGAUUAACGAUUUCUGGGGUGGCGCGAGCUUCGCUGACAUGUUUGCUGUUAUGUACGUCUCAGGAAUGCAUGAAUAAAUGAAUAAUCGAACCGGGACUUUUAAAACGCGACACGUUAAAUUAAAUGCAAUAAUUGCGAAAAGUUGCCCAUGCACUGAUGAUUUGCAUCGUCACGAGAGUAAUUAACAAGGAUUGGAUGCGAUUGUCAAUUCGAUUUUGAUUGCACCGCAAUCGAUCUUCUCCAACGUUUUGCGACUCUUUUUCUCUGUCUUUUUCUCUCGAGCAGUGUGCCAGAGGAAGAAUAAAGACAUUCUAUCGAGGUAAGUCUUCUCUUACGUAUUCUUCACGUGCAUGUGUCCGUACGUGUUUGCUCUAUUACGAUGCGAAACGGGCACACGCAUAGUCAAAUAAUAUACGUAACGCCUAUUCUUCAGACUCCACGACUUAUUUGGAGCACGCGUUUUACUGGGCCCAUUGACAUCGAGCCGCAAGUAGUCAAUGCGCGAUUCAAUCGGUGCUUCGUGAGCACGACCACAUGGAUCGCGGAGAACAAGUUUCGAAAAAAAUCCUCUUUAUAUUAUGUUGAUUUUAUUCUCGUGCAAUUUUUAAUCACGAUCAAGGUGUGUCUUUUCAUACAUAACUGACAUAUUAUCUUGCUUCAUUAAUUACUGUGCUCUUCAAGACUUCGUAAACACUUUGUAAUUGUUGCAUAAGUUUAAUACAUUGCUGCAAAAAUCUAAAAAAAUAGGCUCAUAUAAACACGAUUUCUCUUUUUCAAUUUGAUAUUGGAAAUGCCAAGUAUUAGUUUCUCCACGUGUAUUUGGAUUCCUGCUGUUUGCUCAUUUGCCGAUAUAAUUACCCGCGCGUAUUCAGGAAUAUUCUACGACGAAUCACGAGGCACGUUCUUAAAGAACUUUUCUUUCACGGCGUACAAAGUCAACAUAUUACACAAUUAAGUGAAUGUAGUAUUGAAAAUCAUUCAAGAAUCAUCGAACGCGUGUGUAAAUAGCGGUGAGAAAUAUUGACGUAACGGCAAUAUUUAUUUUGCCUUUGACGUUAAAUGUGAUCGUUUAAUACCGUUUAAUAUGUCUGCGACAACAUUAUACGCGGUUCUCGUGCAGCAUAUCUAAAUCAAACUAAACAUUUAUCGGCCAGCUCUUAACGUUCAAUACAAUGUAAGAAGUGCAGAUAUCAAUCGAAGUUGAUAGGUAAACUUCACGGGAUGAGAUCUUUACAUGAAUAGCUCUUAUCAAUUUACGAACUCAAGGCUCUCCAUUGAAACCAAUUUAACGUACAUCGGAUUCUUAUCAAAACAACAAGAUAUCUCUUUACAAUAAAUGUCUGCAAAUAUUCGAGAGUGACGUUACGUUUUUCCCCCUUUUUUUAAUGGGUUCAUCAAACUCAUUACAUUACCUUCAAACAUAAUAACCGACACGCGAGUCCAUUUUAGUAACAUUUAGGACACUUAGCUUAGCACUUAUAUAAUUAGUCUUUUUCUAAUCCAGAUUAUAGAGCCGUAUUAGAGCGAUCUAGAAAAAGGUGAGGAACCGUUAAUUAGAGUCAAUUAACGGCAUCAGGGCGUCUGACCCGAAAAACUUGCGUCACACGACGAGACAGAGAAAUUUCGCUCAAUUAUCAACAGUCUGGUUAACAGUCAGAGACUCGGAGCUCGUGAUGUGCGUGAACUUGCUUGUUUAGCUAUCGCGAUGUCCAUCGAUGCAACGCACGAAGACAUACGGAUACACUCGAUCUCCAUCGUGUUACGUUUCUGGAUCACGGAUGAGGAUUGGUUUCUCGCGCAGAAAUUACGCCGUCUUAACAACGUACGCGUAUGAAGUGAUCAGGCCAUGCCGGGGAGCAUUUGUCAUCGUCUCAAACGAUGCUUUAAUCGUCCGAGCGAACGUGAGGGUCCUCACUUUGACCUGACGAUUACGCACCGCGGCGGGUCACAUGAUUUCAUACGCGUAUACUGUAAUCCUCCUCUGAAAAACUUCCUCGCUCGCAUUAAUGAAGCGUGACUAACGGCGCAACAUCUGUUGCAUAGAUAAGUCCCCUUUACGCAUCGCACAAACGCUUUCUAUGAAUUUCUUGCACUGCGUCACGGUAUGCCGUAACAUACGUGUAAUUUUGUUUAUCUUUUAUCUAUCGCAACGUGUUGCAAUUGAAAGUUCAUCAUUGUUUUCUAGUUACUGAUGUAUAUUUUUGUCGAUUACCGUCUCCGCUGCAAGUACAUCUUUAACACCACUUAGCAAGAAGCUUAAUGAUAAUCUUUCUUCCAAAAAAUAUAAAACCUAAAUCUUAUCUUAAAAAAACUGUAAAGUAUAAAAUAUUUAUAUAUUACAGCUUUUUGUCAAUAAAAUGUUUCGAUCCAUCCUACAAAGUUCAGAGCAUCUCGUUCAGCACGUGAAUACUUUCCGAUUCGGUUUCGAUUGCACGCAAUUUAUUGGCACAAGGUGAUUCGAUAUUUAUUCCGUACAAGGUGCGCCGUAAAUCUGACGUGACGCUUUUUCUAAAUUUAUUUAAAAAUAAUUCUCCGUGACCCAGUAUGCAACCGUGUCAUUCCUCCACGUAAGCGGUCGCUUACCGCAUGGCCGUAUGGCUUUAUCCCCUUUCUCUUUAGCCGUGAGUCUGCUCCUACACGAAUUGUCCGCCUCUUUCUGAAUUGUCUUGGAAUUUCGUCGCAUAAAAUCUAUGAAAUAUUGACGGCGAGGAAUCUCUCUUACAUUAAAACGCUGUCGAGCUCGAUCAAAUUUUUCGCGCGACUGAAUUAUUGCACGCUAAUUACAAUACAUACAUUUUUACGUGUUAAUUACAGUCUAUCUCGCCACUUGAAGUGGCAUUUCUCGAGAAAAGCCAUAAAAUGAUUAUCGCGGCGAGGAUGCCACCGAAUUAGCCUUCGCAAUGCGAAAAUGUUCAUCAUAAAGCUCAGACGAAACAUUAUUCUCGCCGAGGUGUGUGAGAUUUUAUCCGCUGAUCAAACAAAUCUACGGGCAAUGUCCGCUGAAAAUGAAACCGAGCCGUUACCAGGGAACAAUCCGACGGUAAGAUUGCACGUGAAGUAUCAAGGACAAUCGGCAUUCGUUUCACGCACGGAUAACGCUUUUGGUGACCCAGACGGAUUCACGACUGAAAAAGAACACCAGCGCACGCUGGAAGCCAACGAAUGCAGAUUACGUAAUAUCAAAGACGCCAAGUCACAGCACUGUUCAAAACGAAUCAGAAAAGGUAGAUCACAUAGAUCUUGUAUUAUAAAUUAAUGUAUAAGAUAUGUGUCCACAUGAUUCUUACAGAACGCAGUUGUGAUAAUUAAUGGCACUGAUAAACACGAAGGUCGUGUGAUUAAUCAUGAGAGAUUAAAGCUGCUUGAACUUAAUUAUGCAGAUGCAAUUGUGUGCGCGACUGGUGUAACAUCGGCGAACGUCAUGCAUCCGGAGCGACCGUCCUAAAACGCAAGCCGCGUGCUUGAAAGUUAGUCGUUGCAAAUAUUUGAUGUCGCGUACCACCGGUGAAUACACCACUGUUUGAUAACGGGCGCGCGGUCGCCGUUACGUCGUAAAGUUCGCUACGUCGACGGCAUUGUCAUGUACAGUAAUGAUAAAAAUUCAACGGUAAGUUCCAUCACAUUUACGGUUGCGAUAUUGCUUUCUGGCGUUCGUGGAACGGUCUGACCCCAUAGCGGUCCCAGGAAGAGACGGAUAAGCAGAAAGUUUUCCGCCCGGUUGCUCGACGUGGGGAGGAACCACAAGGCGAAACCACGGCGCGAUUACUCUCGGUCAGUCCUGGGUUAAUUCCACAAUUAAUCUGCGAUCGCGUUCGCUAUGCGCUGAUUUACGGGUCACUCGAGCAAGCGUUAAUUAAUACCUCGUGGUGACCACGCGGGAAAACAAUAAAGAGGCGGGCACGUGCUGCGACGUCGUAUCAUGUGAACAUAUGUGCUAUAUGUAUAUGUGUGCAUCGAAAGCUAUACGAUCUUUAAAGGAAAGAAACGCACGACAAAUUGUAACAGAUGUUUUAUGAAAGAAAGCGGGCCGUCCUCAUAACGAAGAUUUUGAUUGACACAAUGUAUGAGUAAACUAAAUUUGUUUCAGUAAUUAGGAAGUAUGAUUAAGAAUUUAACUCGAAAUUUAAUUAAGCGAAUAUAUAACGUAUAUUAAAGUGAAUAUAACAUAAAUAUAAAAUAAAAAAUAUAAAAAUAAUAUAAAUAACAUAUAUUAAAUUUAGUCAAAAAUAUAUAUGCACUCUUUUCUUAUCUGUGUAAAUCAGUUUCCAUAAUUUGACAAAUAAAAAAUUACACAUUAAAUUUUUUAUGAGAUGGGAAUCGUUCACGGAUUAUGUGGCAAGUCCAAAAAGUGCCAGAUCGGCACGUUUUUUGGACUCUCGCGGCCUGUUCCAGUGCUUGUUCCAGUCGUGCGUGCCUAUCCCAGAAACUAGUGUCAGACUGCAAUCUGACACGAGUACCAGAUUACCAGCCCGCACAUACGGUUCUUGUUUAAUUUUAGAUAUUAAUCCUACGAGAACGGGGCCACAGAUAACGAGUGAAAAAUUGCGAAGCGGGUGAAUGUCAGCGCAAUGCGUCUGUCACGCAAGAAUGCAUGUCGCGUACUAUCAUCAAGGAUUUUCGCGGCGUGUAUCGAUAGAUUUGCACUUAUCUGGCGCUAAGCUGUACGUGUAUAUUAUGUGUAUGUACAUCUGUGCUUCUUGUGCUUGUUGUUGUACUAUUUUUCUACAUACGACUUUCUUAUGUUUCUUGUUCCGCAACUGAAUGACUCUUCCAAGAAAUAUCCAUUAUGCAAUUCGACACCCACGUUUCCAUUGAGAAUUUUUCUCGCGGAAUCGCAAAAAAGAAAAAAAAGAGAUAAAUUCUACACGUGCCGCAGAAGAGCGAACGUGGCACACGAUUCCCGGACUCUUCCAGGAUGUGUCACUCGUUAUCAUGCUGAAUUUUAACUUAUCGUACCUCGCACUUUACACUUUGUGUAAGAACGUGAUAGUUACUAAUUAUUAUAACGUAACGCGAACGUGCAUUACGACAUUGUUAGAUUAUAAAAUGGCUAUCAGAGAAUAAACAUAAAUAGAAGAUAACUCCACGAUAGAAGAUAAGUAUAAAUAAAACUGCACGAUACAACGAUUAUUUUAUGCAACGACGUGGCAUACGAUUAUCUGCGGACGUUUGCUUCCUUCGGCGUGGAUGGUGACUUACGUCUUGUCGUAAAGCAAACGAUCAGCAGCAGUAGCAUUGGCUAUACGCUGUAAAAUGUCGUGACGUCUUCGUCGUAAGAUACUGCUUACGAGGCAAGCUCUGAAUUGCUGUUGGUGCAAUAUCACGUUGAAUUAUCUUCGCCGAGUAAUUUCAAUGCUUGUAUUGUUAUUCGCUUAAAACUUUAUCGAUCAAAAUAAAUCCGAUAAAC